GAUGAACGCUAGCUACAGGCUUUAACACAUGCAAGUCGGGGGCGAGCAUGAAUCAAAGUUUGUCUUGGUUCGAUGGCGACCGGCGCACGGGUGAGUAGCACGUAUCCAACCUACCCUCCACUCGGGCAUAGCCCAUCGAAAGAUGGAUUAAUUCCCGAUGGUUUCACGAGAUUGCAUGAGAUCGUGAAUAAAGGCUUACGGUGGCGGAUGGGGAUGCGUUCCAUUAGCUUGUUGGCGGGGUAACGGCCCACCAAGGCGACGAUGGAUAGGGGUUCUGAGAGGAAGGUCCCCCACAUUGGAACUGAGACACGGUCCAAACUCCUACGGGAGGCAGCAGUGAGGAAUAUUGGCCAAUGGCCGGAAGGCUGAACCAGCCAAGUAGCGUGAAGGAUGACCGCCCUACGGGUCGUAAAACUUCUUUUAUAAAGGAAUAAAGGCGUCCACGUGUGGAUGUUUGCAUGUAC
This 464-nucleotide ribosomal RNA is filed under the name uncultured bacterium. RNAcentral describes it as "bacterial SSU rRNA". It matches the Rfam family "Bacterial small subunit ribosomal RNA", at positions 28 to 478 of the family's 1533-position model. The record is from RNAcentral.